This 253-nucleotide ribosomal RNA is filed under the name uncultured bacterium. RNAcentral describes it as "partial 16S ribosomal RNA". It matches the Rfam family "Bacterial small subunit ribosomal RNA", at positions 524 to 776 of the family's 1533-position model. The record is from RNAcentral.
AACGUAGGUACCGAGCGUUAUCCGGAUUUACUGGGCGUAAAGCGCGUUCAGGCGGUUUGGCAAGUCGGGCAUGAAAUCUCUCGGCUCAACCGGGAGAGGUUGUCCGAUACUUCCAGACUUGAGGGCAGUAGAGGGUGGUGGAAUUCCGGGUGUAGUGGUGAAAUGCGUAGAUAUCCGGAGGAACACCAGUGGCGAAAGCGGCCACCUGGACUGCACCUGACGCUGACACGCGAAAGCUAGGGGAGCGGACGGG